CGACAGGCUUAACACAUGCAAGUCGAGGGGCAGCACAGGUAGCAAUACCGGGUGGCGACCGGCGCACGGGUGAGUAACGCGUAUGCAACUUACCUAUCAGAGGGGGAUAACCCGGCGAAAGUCGGACUAAUACCGCAUGAAGCAGGGGCCCCGCAUGGGGAUAUUUGCUAAAGAUUCAUCGCUGAUAGAUAGGCAUGCGUUCCAUUAGGCAGUUGGCGGGGUAACGGCCCACCAAACCGACGAUGGAUAGGGGUUCUGAGAGGAAGGUCCCCCACAUUGGUACUGAGACACGGACCAAACUCCUACGGGAGGCAGCAGUGAGGAAUAUUGGUCAAUGGCCGAGAGGCUGAACCAGCCAAGUCGCGUGAGGGAUGAAGGUUCUAUGGAUCGUAAACCUCUUUUAUAAGGGAAUAAAGUGCGGGACGUGUCCCGUUUUGUAUGUACCUUAUGAAUAAGGAUCGGCUAACUCCGUGCCAGCAGCCGCGGUAAUACGGAGGAUCCGAGCGUUAUCCGGAUUUAUUGGGUUUAAAGGGUGCGUAGGCGGCCUUUUAAGUCAGCGGUGAAAGUCUGUGGCUCAACCAUAGAAUUGCCGUUGAAACUGGGGGGCUUGAGUAUGUUUGAGGCAGGCGGAAUGCGUGGUGUAGCGGUGAAAUGCAUAGAUAUCACGCAGAACCCCGAUUGCGAAGGCAGCCUGCCAAGCCAUGACUGACGCUGAUGCACGAAAGCGUGGGGAUCAAACAGGAUUAGAUACCCUGGUAGUCCACGCAGUAAACGAUGAUCACUAGCUGUUUGCGAUACACUGUAAGCGGCACAGCGAAAGCGUUAAGUGAUCCACCUGGGGAGUACGCCGGCAACGGUGAAACUCAAAGGAAUUGACGGGGGCCCGCACAAGCGGAGGAACAUGUGGUUUAAUUCGAUGAUACGCGAGGAACCUUACCCGGGUUUGAACGCAUUCGGACCGAGGUGGAAACACCUUUUCUAGCAAUAGCCGUUUGCGAGGUGCUGCAUGGUUGUCGUCAGCUCGUGCCGUGAGGUGUCGGCUUAAGUGCCAUAACGAGCGCAACCCUUGCCACUAGUUACUAACAGGUGAUGCUGAGGACUCUGGUGGGACUGCCAGCGUAAGCUGCGAGGAAGGCGGGGAUGACGUCAAAUCAGCACGGCCCUUACAUCCGGGGCGACACACGUGUUACAAUGGCGUGGACAAAGGGAGGCCACCUGGCGACAGGGAGCGAAUCCCCAAACCACGUCUCAGUUCGGAUCGGAGUCUGCAACCCGACUCCGUGAAGCUGGAUUCGCUAGUAAUCGCGCAUCAGCCAUGGCGCGGUGAAUACGUUCCCGGGCCUUGUACACACCGCCCGUCAAGCCAUGGGAGCCGGGGGUACCUGAAGUCCGUAACCGCGAGGAUCGGCCUAGGGUAAAACUGGUGACUGGGGCUAA
RNAcentral lists this ribosomal RNA (1437 nucleotides) under uncultured organism. RNAcentral describes it as "16S ribosomal RNA". It matches the Rfam family "Bacterial small subunit ribosomal RNA". The record is from RNAcentral.